GCCCAGCCGGCCCAGCCAGGUCACUGGCCCGAGCCAGUGACCGGCUGAGCAAACUGAUGAUGCACGCGUAAAGCACUUUCACGCGUGCAUCAACAGUGCGAAGGUAAUGAAAUUACCUUCGCACUGUUCAAAUGGUUCGGUGAUCGAUUGGGAUCCCGCAGAGAUGAUAACAGGGUUAAUCCGUGAUCCUUUGUCUUUUCUCUCCUUUUCUGGCGAUAUAUUUUUCGGGCGAAAACUGGUUUCUUGCAGGGACGGAAUCGGGGUUGAUGUUGUUGUUCUUCCCUGUAUUUUCUUUUUUGAUUGUGUUUUGUUUUCUCUGUUUUUUUUUCUGGGUUUCUUGCUCUGUUUUUCUAUGUGAUUUCUUCCUUUCGUCUGGUUUUUCCUUUUUUUGAUUGUUGAUUUCUGCCUCUCUUUUAUAGGCAUUCAAACGAUUACCUCUAAAGGCAGGACUCUUAUCUUCCAUGCCAUGAUCUGGGGCGACAGACGUGGUCCAUGGCGAUCAAAUCUGUUGCAGAUCUUCAGCCUGUUGAAUCGGGAUGGAGAAGACGAACACGGCUGUUCCACCAGCCACAGCAGCAACGGACUCCACCAGGAACGGUGACGUUUUCAAUCAACUCGUGGACAGUUUCAGUUUGACCCCCGAACAUUGGAAAGUUUGCAAUUGGACCCCUAAAUAAAAUUAAACAAUUCUUUUAAUUUUAUCCUUUUCUGGAUAACUUUCAAUUAAAUCCCUAAAUUGGUGCACUGUUUACGAAACAGUCCUUAAUUCCUGGAUAUUCAAUUUG
This 785-nucleotide long non-coding RNA is filed under the name Populus tremula. RNAcentral's name for it is "long non-coding RNA (PTRE_LNC001418)". Lineage: Eukaryota; Viridiplantae; Streptophyta; Magnoliopsida; Malpighiales; Salicaceae. The record is from RNAcentral.